GUGGGGAAUUUUACACAAUGGGGGAAACCCUGAUGUAGCAACGCCGCGUGGAGGAUGCCGGAUCUAGGUCUGUAAACUCCUUUUAUAAGGGAAGAAAUUUGACGGUACCUUAUGAAUAAGCACCGGCUAACUCCGUGCCAGCAGCCGCGGUAAUACGGGGGGUGCAAGCGUUCCUCGGAAUCACUGGGCGUAAAGGGAGCGUAGGCGUUUUAUUAAGUCUUGAGUGAAAGCUCGCAGCUCAACUGCGGAACUGCUCAGGAAACUGAUACAAUUGAGUAUGGAAGAGGUAGGUGGAAUUUCCGGUGUAGGGGUAAAAUCCGUAGAUAUCGGAAGGAAUACCAGAAGCGAAGGCGACCUACUGGGACAUUACUGACGCUGAGGCUCGAAAGCGUGGGGAGCAAACA
Molecule: ribosomal RNA, 404 nt
Filed under: uncultured bacterium
Lineage: Bacteria
Description: bacterial SSU rRNA
Rfam family: Bacterial small subunit ribosomal RNA
Source: RNAcentral